This 1289-nucleotide long non-coding RNA is filed under the name Rosa chinensis. RNAcentral's name for it is "sRNA RchiOBHm_Chr4g0441481". Lineage: Eukaryota; Viridiplantae; Streptophyta; Magnoliopsida; Rosales; Rosaceae. The record is from RNAcentral.
UUGGACGUUAACUCUAACAAUUGGUCAACUUUAUGGGGUAAAAUUGUCAUUUGAAGACAAAAAAAUUCGCAACAAAAAAAAUCCAUCUUCUUCUUCCUUCAAUCCCACUUCGGGUCUCUCUCUCCUCUCUCUAACAUUUUCUGAUCUCGAUUCCCAUUUCACCUCCCUCUAAACGUACUCCCUCACCCAGAAACUCCAGACCCUAGAGUCCUAAUCCCCAAACCCUUCUUACUCUACCUCAAUCCCACAAACCCAAAAACCGCAAGACCCAUCUCUUUUCUCUAAUCGAGCCCGAUCCGUUUUGUGUCUCGUGGCAUGCGAGCUUUUUGGAGGGUCUGAAUAUGUCUCCAUCACCAUGCCGAUGUGGGUUCUAACAAGAAGCACAUUCACAACCUCUCUCCAGUUUCUGCCAGCAGGUACGCUGGGUUUGCUCCGAAUUGACUGAAUUCUCACCGGAAAUGGGGUUUGUUGUAACACUUGAAGUUUAAUUACUUUGAGGUUCAGACUUAUCUACUCACAAUUUCGCGACGGUUUUACCUGGAGAUUCAGUGGCCGAACUUGUUGUUGCAAAUGGUGCCUUCAACUUAUUGAACUUAUACGAAACUUUAUUGGUCUGGAGGCUUGUGUUAGCCGGUGGACCUUUGCGUACCCAAUCCGUAUCGACCAAGCUCUCUUUUGUCUCAACAAGUGUGAAUUCCCUCUCAAGAUCCAGCUCAUCGUCUUCCUCGAAGAGUUCUCCGGCUCGCACUUCACAUCCGACCUAGAUUCUCUUCUUGUUCUUCAUUUUGUGUUCUUAGUUUUUUGUUUUCCUCAUUUGCUAUGUCUAAUUUAGUGUUCUGUAGCCACCAGGUAUGAAGGAAGUGGUGGUUUUUUGAGAUGAAUUUGAUUCUGUGAUGGUUUUGAAGAAAUGGUUUCUAGUGGCUGAUUUGGUUUUGUAAAACGAGUUUAAUUUUGUGAUCGGUUUCAAAAGGAGGGGAGAGUGAUUAUUGUGUGUUUUGCAACUUUUUCCCUUUACUUACUAGUUCAGGUAUCAAGGAAGAAGAUACGGGCUAAAAAUGUAAUUUAACUCCUCAGGUGGAUCCAAAACGUGAAAGUUAAUAACGUCCAUGUCAGCAGUUAACGUCCAAUUUGGACGGUUUGGAGUUUUGGACAAGGCUGACUGAAAUUGAAAAGCUCGGGGGUGUUUCUGAUUAAAUUGAUACCACAGGGACUAACAUGAAGUUACCCCCAAACCUCAGGGGGUAAACUGAAUUUAAUCCAAUAUGUAAUACAAGAAAACGGAUAUUUCU